AGCAAUCUGCCUUGGAGUGGGGAAUAACGGUUGGAAACAGCCGCUAAUACCGCAUGAUACAGCUAUCCCGCAUGGGGUUGGCUGUCAAAGAUUUAUCGCUCUGAGAUGAGCUCGCGUCUGAUUAGCUUGUUGGCGGGGUAACGGCCCACCAAGGCGACGAUCAGUAGCCGGACUGAGAGGUUGGCCGGCCACAUUGGGACUGAGACACGGCCCAGACUCCUACGGGAGGCAGCAG
This 235-nucleotide ribosomal RNA is filed under the name uncultured bacterium. RNAcentral describes it as "partial 16S ribosomal RNA". It matches the Rfam family "Bacterial small subunit ribosomal RNA", at positions 120 to 354 of the family's 1533-position model. The record is from RNAcentral.